UACGUAGGUGGCAAGCGGUGUCCGGAUUUACUGGGCGUAAAGAGCGCGCAGGCGGUCGUUCAAGUCGAGUGUGAAAGCCCCCGGCUCAACUGGGGAGGGUCACUCGAUACUGAUCGACUCGAAGGCAGAAGAGGGAAGCGGAAUUCCCGGUGUAGUGGUGAAAUGCGUAGAUAUCGGGAGGAACACCAGUGGCGAAGGCGGCUUUCUGGUCUGCUCUUGACGCUGAGGCGCGAAAGCUAGGGUAGCAAACGGG
This 253-nucleotide ribosomal RNA is filed under the name uncultured bacterium. RNAcentral describes it as "partial 16S ribosomal RNA". It matches the Rfam family "Bacterial small subunit ribosomal RNA", at positions 524 to 776 of the family's 1533-position model. The record is from RNAcentral.